UAAAUAAUUAUUGUGUAGAAAUAAAAACAAUAAAAUAGCAGAAAUUACAGAAAGUAUAUAAAUGUAAACAUUUGAAAUCUAUCAUUACUUUUGCUAAUUAUUUUGGUCAUGUAGAAUUUACACACUUCAACAUUUAUGCGCAAGGGACUUCAAAAUGCCCUAAACUUAUUUGCACAAAAUAAAUAAAUAAAUAAAUAAAUAAAUAAAAUAAAAUAAAUAAUAAUUUGUUGAGUCAGAUGUUUUGGUGGCAUUCCCACUUGCUUACAACAAAUCAGUCAAGCAUGUAUAUUAAACAGAUCGGCAUCAGUGCAGAGCAACAUUUUGUUUUUAUUUUAUUUCAUCUACUUUUUCCAAUAUCAUCAUUUUUAAACAGCAAUAUCCACAAAAUAUUAACAGUGUGCAAGAAAACAUGAUUUAUGGCACAUCCGAGAAGAACAAUUACAAAAAAUAGAUAUAUUUCUUCAUAAUCAAGGCAGAAAGAUACAUAUGCAUACACAGGAAAAAACACAAAGUAAUGGAACAGGCUGAGAUUGAAAUCUACUGGCUAAGGACUCAGCUACAGAUAUUGCCCACACAAAGCCUAAAUCUCACCUCUCAUGGUCAUGAAAGAGCUUGAUGGUGUGUGAAGUCGAACAACGUUUGGGAACGAGGAAUUGAGGUUAAGGUAUCACGGCCUACUCAGCACCUUAAGUGUUCUCGCUGCACGCAACGCAAAUUAGAAACGGACAAGCUCCCUCGUCCUAACAGCAGGUCUCACAACUUAGAAAGAGUCUUAUUAAACCCAAGCGCAGGGGAGUUUUUUUUUUUUUAAGCAUACUUCAGGUAAACGCUAUACUUUGGAGCACAGUGUAUCCCAACACUGUUAGUCAAGAGGGUGGAGAACUCAAGCUAACAAGCUAACUUAGCUUAGCUGACUUUCACAGUGUUCGCUCCAGUGUAACACCAUCAAACGUGGUACAGCAAGUUUGGCUGGUGGCUGGUCAAAAACCUUUUGUAGUGCUAGAAUUAUUUUAGCACUAGCUUGGUGCAUUUGAGCACUUUGCACAUAUCAAGAAAGGCUUCAUCCUAAUGUGGACUACUAAGUGACUCAAGUGAGUUUGCAAUAAUAUCGUCAGUGAUGGAAAAGUCUAAGUUUCUAUUUUAACACUUGAAUUGAUUCCAUUAUAAUCCUUCAUCUUUAUAUAAUAUGGUUCUUUAUCUCCUUAAGUGUCUCUUUUUCUCCACUUACUUUGAAAUGCAUUAAGCCACUACACUGCUCUGCUCAGGCUUAACAGGAAGUGAUGUCGCUGAAGCAGCUCUGUCCACUGAUGGGCAGCAGCGUGAUUCUGUUGAUCACUGGAUGAGUCACAGCACUCGUGACCUCCACACGCCUUAGUCAUUCUUAUACGGGAGCUGAUGACAGCACCCAUUGGCCGUGAGGAGCACAGGCCCCCUCUGUCCCACUCUAAGCCCCUAUUUCCUGCACUUUGUUGUUAUUUUCCAGCAUUUGAAGCGGGACAAUGGGGGAAUUCUGUUUUAGCACUUAGCUGAAUAAUGUGAGUGACUGUUUGGGGAUCAUCACACACAAACAAAACGUCACUCCAAAAGAUUGUGCAUCAUGUGCUGGGUGCACAUUAGACAUUCAGAGUUGUGGGUUGACCUUGCCCCUCAUCUUUAGCAUGUGACUGCUCAGGCUGAGCCGAACCCUAUGGCCCGUUGCACAUCCUGCCCUUAGAUAGACUUAACAGCACAGACCACCUCAUGAAACGUGCUUCGAACAACGCCUUUAAGCACCUUGUGUAGGCAUUGUGUCAACAAUCCAUUCCACAUUUCCUGUUUACUAUCACAUGUACAAGCACUGGAGCCGUCCACAGAUUCCUUUCACUCACAUCUUUUGCCUAGACUUAAAGAGGACAAACUGAAUGGUUAAAUAUGAAUGAUGGAAGAAACGGAAAUAUUACACAAAGAUUACAAAAAGAUAAAACAUCCACAAAAAAAAAAAAUUAAUGCGCUUUAGUUAUCAAACACUGUACAGUAUCAUACUCAAUGACUAGAUUCCAUGUUUCCAUAGAAAGAAGAAAUUGGAACAAACAAAUCCAAACACCUAUUCUCAAAGUUAACACCUCUGAACAUAUCCAAAAGAAAGUUUAUACAUUUUUUUCCUUCUGUAUGGAUUUUACAAUCAAGUUUGGUUUUAGAGAAAAAAGAAAUAAAAUUGGCCUUAUCAGGGGCUCCGACUUCAAAAUGACUCAGUUUGAUGAGGCAUGUCCAAAUCAUUCAUAAAAUAUUCAUUAUUAUUUGAUAUAUUUGAUACUAAAUAUCACAUAUUAAUUUCAAAUUAAUAUCUCAAAUAAUAGGGCUCAUUUUUUAUACUGAACUGCACUUUAGGAGGGCACUGGGAAGGAUAUCAUUAGGUAAAUAUAUUUUCUGCAUUAUAUAAAAUUAUUCCUUUAUAACUUAGUGUUUGAGGAUUCUGAAAUAUAGUAUAAACACUAGGGAAAAAAACUAAGCAUUAAACCUAAUGAGUUUUUAUUGAUGAAAAGAAAAAAAAAUAGCUCACAAACUCACAAAAAUAUUGGCAACUCUGGUUAAUGUCUUGAAUCCCUUUGUAAAACAUGAAAUGUGCUGUUUUGAUAAUAAAUUUAAAUCUAGAAUGAACCUUUAGCUUGCAGAUUCGGGUUAAUACUGAACAAGCGUUUACCACAGUGUGACUGGGCUAGCCAGCUAGUCAGUCAGCAAAAUCAUGACUGUCUUCCUCUACUCUCCACCAUCACCUAUGGUAACAAGGUCAGCCGCUGCACUGAAAAACAUGCUGGAAUAUCUCUCAGUCUUUAUAUAAUCUUUUGAAAUAGUUUACAAUUUCGAAAUCUGCCACCUCCUGUUAAGUACAUCUAUAUGCAUGAAUUUAGACAGGCGUGCUGUGCAGAUUCAUUCAUAUAGAUUCACUCAACACCAGGCUACAUGACGCUAGGUAUUCAGAUAUUGCCCCUAUUUGUUUUUACCGAGAGAGUGUGGCAUUUAUUUUCUGGAGAAUACUGUGGAUCCCAGGUAAAAAGAAGUGUUGGACUGAAUUGCCCAUUGACUGGGGAUGGGCAGCGGUUAAAGAGGGAUUGGGAUAGCUGGCCUAGACAAAGUAGCUAUAGAAUGAUGCAAGGCUUCUUGUCUUUGAAAGGAUUCUCUGAGGUGGGAACCCCCACCAGAAGAGGGUCACUGCGGGCGUGCUGCUCACAGUAACUCAUGAGGUCUGCAGCAGCCUUAGACACCUGGGGAAAAG
Cyprinus carpio carpio is the source of this 3253-nucleotide long non-coding RNA. The record is from Ensembl. NCBI's taxonomy places the organism in Eukaryota, Metazoa, Chordata, Actinopteri, Cypriniformes, Cyprinidae.